UGCCCGAGUCCAAGAUGGUGGCGCCACGGCUUCGAUCUCGUGGGGGGUAAAUAGCCAGCGGCCCCGCCCCUUGCCAGUUUCACAGAUGGCCGCCAUGAGUCUCCUGCUCCGGGCAGCGGCCGCUUUGGGGACUCGCAAGGUCCUGUUCAGGGCGGCAGGCGGGGGACGUGUCUCCUUGCUGGGCAGAAAUGUCGUGUCCUCCGGCAUCAUCGCUCCAGUACGACAUGGAAGCCAUGGAAAAAGAAUGUUUGUCAUCAAGCCAACAGAUUUCUAUGAUCAACGAUUUCUGCACUUACUGAGAUUCUAUAUUUUAUUGACUGGGAUACCAUUAGCAAUAAUUAUAACGUCUGUCAACAUCUUCAUUGGUGAAGCUGAACUUGCAGAGAUUCCAGAAGGUUAUGUUCCAGAGCACUGGGAGUAUUACAAAGCGUUAAUCACAUACCUCUGGGUGAGGAGGGAGGCAUCAGCUGUGGAGGGACCUGACAGUGUCCGGUCAGGCACAGUAAUGCCAAUCCGCCUCCGGAGGGCAGGGAGAGGAGAGGAGAAGCAGUGGCUCCCAUCCCAGCUCCAGUGGAGAGCAUCCUAUAACUAGGUGGAUUGCUCGUUAUCUCCUUGAUUCUCCUGAAAAGGAAUAUGAAAAAAUGUUGGCCUUAAUUGAUAUUGAAGCUAAAAAAGCUGACCUAAGGCUGAAGGAAUUGGAGGCACGUCGACUAAUGAGACAGAGGGGAGAUGGGCCCUGGUAUUACUAUGAGACCCCUGAUAAAAAUCUUAUUGAUCAUUCUGCUAAAGCAUCUCCUGACAAUUAAGCAGUUAGUCCACUGUUCCAAAAGAGCACCCACAAAUAGCGACUGAAUAAUGUAAUGUGUAUCCUGUUGUUUCUUGCUGACUUAAAUAAAAGUUUCUAUUUCAGUA
Molecule: non-coding RNA, 912 nt
Organism: Chrysemys picta bellii (western painted turtle)
Lineage: Eukaryota; Metazoa; Chordata; Testudines; Emydidae
Source: RefSeq, a predicted model, not a curated record